This 354-nucleotide unclassified non-coding RNA is filed under the name soil metagenome. RNAcentral describes it as "partial contains 5.8S ribosomal RNA, internal transcribed spacer 2, and large subunit ribosomal RNA". The stretch from base 1 to 120 matches the Rfam family "5.8S ribosomal RNA", at positions 35 to 154 of the family's 154-position model. The record is from RNAcentral.
GAUGAAGAACGCAGCGAAAUGCGAUAAGUAAUGUGAAUUGCAGAAUUCCGUGAAUCAUCGAAUCUUUGAACGCACAUUGCGCCCCCUGGCAUUCCGGGGGGCAUGCCUGUCCGAGCGUCAUUUCUGCCCUCCAGCCCGGCUGGGUGUUGGGCGCUGUCCCCCCGGGGCCACGCCCCAAAGGCAGUGGCGGCGCCGCGUCGGGUCCUCGAGCGUAUGGGGCUUUGUCACCCGCUCGGGACGGACUCGUCGGCGCUGGUCUUCCUCCAGGCGACCCUUCGGGGCUCGUCUUCCUUCGGUUGACCUCGGAUCAGGUAGGGUUACCCGCUGAACUUAAGCAUAUCAAUAAGCGGAGGA